UUGGUCAUUUAGAGGAAGUAAAAGUCGUAACAAGGUCUCCGUAGGUGAACCUGCGGAGGGAUCAUUACAAGUGACCCCGGUUUACCACCGGGAUGUUCAUAACCCUUUGUUGUCCGACUCUGUUGCCUCCGGGGCGACCCUGCCUUCGGGCGGGGGCUCCGGGUGGACACUUCAAACUCUUGCGUAACUUUGCAGUCUGAGUAAACUUAAUUAAUAAAUUAAAACUUUUAACAACGGAUCUCUUGGUUCUGGCAUCGAUGAAGAACGCAGCGAAAUGCGAUAAGUAAUGUGAAUUGCAGAAUUCAGUGAAUCAUCGAAUCUUUGAACGCACAUUGCGCCCCCUGGUAUUCCGGGGGGCAUGCCUGUUCGAGCGUCAUUUCACCACUCAAGCCUCGCUUGGUAUUGGGCAACGCGGUCCGCCGCGUGCCUCAAAUCGACCGGCUGGGUCUUCUGUCCCCUAAGCGUUGUGGAAACUAUUCGCUAAAGGGUGCUCGGGAGGCUACGCCGUAAAACAACCCCAUUUCUAAGGUUGACCUCGGAUCAGGUAGGGAUACCCGCUGAACUUAAGCAUAUCAAUAAG
Molecule: ribosomal RNA, 580 nt
Filed under: uncultured fungus
Lineage: Eukaryota; Fungi
Description: eukaryotic LSU rRNA
Rfam family: 5.8S ribosomal RNA (bases 223-376)
Source: RNAcentral